AGUGUAGGCGGUCAAGCAAGUCAGAGGUGAAAGGCAUCGGCUCAACCGAUGUAAGCCUUUGAAACUGUUUGACUUGAGUGCAGGAGAGGUAAGUAGAAUUCCUAGUGUAGCGGUGAAAUGCGUAGAUAUUAAGAGGAACACCAGUGGCGAAGGCGACUUACUGGACUGUAACUGACGCUGAGGCUCGAAAGCGUGGGGAGCGAACA
This 206-nucleotide ribosomal RNA is filed under the name uncultured bacterium. RNAcentral describes it as "partial 16S ribosomal RNA". It matches the Rfam family "Bacterial small subunit ribosomal RNA", at positions 568 to 774 of the family's 1533-position model. The record is from RNAcentral.